Molecule: ribosomal RNA, 198 nt
Filed under: uncultured bacterium
Lineage: Bacteria
Description: partial 16S ribosomal RNA
Rfam family: Bacterial small subunit ribosomal RNA
Source: RNAcentral
AGGCUGCAACUCGCCUGCAUGAAGUCGGAAUUGCUAGUAAUCGUAGGUCAGCAUACUACGGUGAAUACGUUCCCGGGCCUUGUACACACCGCCCGUCAAACCAUGAGAGUUGGCAACACCCGAAGUCGGUAGUCUAACCGCAAGGAGGACGCCGCCGAAGGUGGGUUNAUGAUUAGGGUUAAGUCGUAACAAGGUAUC